GCAACCCGCCUGCAUGAAGUCGGAAUUGCUAGUAAUCGCGGAUCAGCAUGCCGCGGUGAAUACGUUCCCGGGCCUUGUACACACCGCCCGUCACACCAUGGGAGCCGGUAAUACCCGAAGUCAGUAGUCCAACCACGUGAGGACGCUGCCGAAGGUAGGAUUGGCGACUGGGGUGAAGUCGUAACAAGGUAAC
RNAcentral lists this ribosomal RNA (193 nucleotides) under uncultured bacterium. RNAcentral's name for it is "partial 16S ribosomal RNA". It matches the Rfam family "Bacterial small subunit ribosomal RNA", at positions 1307 to 1500 of the family's 1533-position model. The record is from RNAcentral.